CAUUUUCGCCCGACAUCCACUGCUACCCCGCGAGGGGCGAUGGAGGAACAAAGAGAUGAAUAUGUAUGCGUCGAGAGCAAUCUGUGCAGCGUUUGCAGUUUCGUAAUCGCUCUAACGGCGCCAGCUACCAAGGUCUUACUGGAGCAUAACCACUUUAUAAAGACGGGAGAAGGAGGCUAUACCAUACCUCUUCGGGCACCCAGAACCACUUGGCAUACAAAGUAAAGCUCUCUGUCCCCGGCCAUUGCGGAACUAAAAGUGCAUUUCAUUUCUGCGACAAACGGAGGGGAAAAGUUGACAGGAACGGAGAGAAUAAUGAUAUAUUAUAAGUGCUGGGAAUAGUCAUUAAAAGCACUCACCGUUACGCCUUAACCAAGCGAACUAAGCAAACUAAUUAAAAGCAAACAAAUCCGUCAGCUUGUUCUCACAAGUGAAAUAUUCGGCACUUGACUACUCACUGUGGCAGAACUUUGGGCCUGCGGACAACCGAGUGCGCACCGUACAGGGCGCCCCAUCGGAGGUGAAAAGUGUCAAGUCAGGUGGCCAGAACCGUUGGGCUGAGUGGACAGACCAACAUGUUCCGAAUAACUCCAGUUGCCUCGUGGAACUCAGAGCCCGUGUCUAAAUGCAAAUGUCAACAUGGGGAAGACAGCUUCCUCUUAGUAUGCAUCGACGCACUUGGCGGAUAAGAAGCCGAACUGCAAUUAGUGCCACGAUCAACAUGCGAGGCACGCACGUCCAGAGGAGAAGCACUCCUCCUCUCUGUGCCAGACCAGCCCAUACCCAUGCCACUACCCAUACCAUCUGAUCCAUACCAUACCCACUGGAACUCACUGCAGAGCCAUGUUUUUCUGUUCUAUCCUAUCUCCACUUCUGGAAGUUCUCUCUGUCUAUCUCGAACACGCAGAAAAAUACAAUUGUAUUGUUAGUUCUAAAAGUUAUAAAUAUUCACAUUUUACUGAAAGUAAUCGAAGUCAUUAAACCAAAACGAUUUUUCCUAAGAUAAAAGGAAAAAUCGUUUAUUUCGAUAA
Long non-coding RNA from Drosophila biarmipes, 1031 nucleotides. RefSeq lists it as uncharacterized. The transcript has 3 exons. The record is from RefSeq and is a predicted model, not a curated record. Lineage: Eukaryota; Metazoa; Arthropoda; Insecta; Diptera; Drosophilidae.